RNAcentral lists this transfer RNA (75 nucleotides) under Candidatus Saccharibacteria bacterium RIFCSPHIGHO2_12_FULL_47_17. RNAcentral's name for it is "tRNA-Asn". It matches the Rfam family "tRNA". From Rfam's summary of the family: Transfer RNA (tRNA) molecules are approximately 80 nucleotides in length. Their secondary structure includes four short double-helical elements and three loops (D, anti-codon, and T loops). Further hydrogen bonds mediate the characteristic L-shaped molecular structure. tRNAs have two regions of fundamental functional importance: the anti-codon, which is responsible for specific mRNA codon recognition, and the 3' end, to which the tRNAs corresponding amino acid is attached (by aminoacyl-tRNA synthetases). tRNAs cope with the degeneracy of the genetic code in two manners: having more than one tRNA (with a specific anti-codon) for a particular amino acid; and 'wobble' base-pairing, i.e. permitting non-standard base-pairing at the 3rd anti-codon position. Lineage: Bacteria; Candidatus Saccharimonadota. The record is from RNAcentral.
UCCGGAGUAGCUCAACGGUAGAGCGCCGCCCUGUUAAGGCGAGUGUUGCCGGUUCGAAUCCGGCCUCCGGAGCCA